AUGACUGAGCAAACUCCUCAUGGGAGAUGAUGAAGGACAGGGAAGCUUGGUGUGCUACAGUCCAUGGGGUCGCAAAGAGCUGGACAUGACUCAGUGACUGAACAACAGGAGUGGGGAAGGAGGGGAGUUCCUUCAGGGCUGGCACAGGUGUGCUCACUCCCACAGUGCUGGCCACAGCAUCUCUGCACAUGACCCGUUGCCUCCAUCUUGAAUCAAGGAUGAAGCACAGAGCUUCUUCAUAAGACCAGUGGAACUGCAAAGUCAGCACGGUCAUUUUUGAACCAGGAGCUCAGGAGUCAAGUGCCCGGUACAAGGCCUCUGCACCCAGCACCCUGUGAGCAAAUGAAACUAGACAGAGCACAAAGGAAAAAAAAAGGUUACUCAAGUCCUAAAACUGAGGAGAUACUGUUUGAUGCUGGAUCAGGGAAAUUCCACAGGGACAUGGAUUGGGAUUUUCAUUAUUUAUUAAAAUAAAAAAAAUAACUAUGGCAAAGAAUUUUUAAAUUA
Long non-coding RNA from Bubalus bubalis (water buffalo), 507 nucleotides. RefSeq lists it as uncharacterized. The transcript has 2 exons. The record is from RefSeq and is a predicted model, not a curated record. Lineage: Eukaryota; Metazoa; Chordata; Mammalia; Artiodactyla; Bovidae.